AUUGAACGCUGGCGGCAUGCUUUACACAUGCAAGUCGAACGGCAGCGCGGGCUUCGGCCUGGCGGCGAGUGGCGAACGGGUGAGUAAUACAUCGGAACGUGCCCAGUAGUGGGGGAUAGCUCGGCGAAAGCCGGAUUAAUACCGCAUACGACCUGAGGGUGAAAGCGGGGGAUCUUCGGACCUCGCGCUAUUGGAUCGGCCGAUGGCAGAUUAGCUAGUUGGUGGGGUAAAGGCCUACCAAGGCGACGAUCUGUAGCUGGUCUGAGAGGACGCCCAGCCACACUGGGACUGAGACACGGCCCAGACGCCUACGGGAGGCAGCAGUGGGGAAGUUUGGACAAUGGGCGAAAGCCUGAUCCAGCAAUGCCGCGUGUGUGAUGAAGGCCGUCGGGUUGUAAAGCACUUUUGGCGGGAACGAAAAGGACUGUGCCAAUACCACGGUUCGAUGACGGUACCCGCAGAAUAAGCACCGGCUAACUACGUG
Molecule: ribosomal RNA, 484 nt
Filed under: uncultured bacterium
Lineage: Bacteria
Description: partial 16S ribosomal RNA
Rfam family: Bacterial small subunit ribosomal RNA
Source: RNAcentral